This 255-nucleotide transfer-messenger RNA is filed under the name Desulfuromonadales bacterium C00003107. Its description in RNAcentral is "partial transfer-messenger RNA". It matches the Rfam family "transfer-messenger RNA", at positions 1 to 272 of the family's 374-position model. From Rfam's summary of the family: Bacterial tmRNA, also known as 10Sa RNA or SsrA, is named for its dual tRNA and mRNA-like properties. Lineage: Bacteria; Pseudomonadati; Thermodesulfobacteriota; Desulfuromonadia; Desulfuromonadales. The record is from RNAcentral.
GGGGGUGACCUGGUUUCGACGGGGAUUGGAAGCAAAGGUGGCAUGCCGGGGACGCCAGUUGGCCUCGUUAAAAAACUGGCAUUUAUACAAACGCCGAUACUGACGUUUCGUACGCACUAGCAGCUUAAUUGCUGUUACGUCUUGAGUUCCAUUGCCUGUGUGGGCUUAAAGACGCAAUUUAAUAGGCUAGUUCCAGCAAGGGUUCGUGGUGCCGGAACGAAAUUAAAGCGAAAUCGCCUGUGUCAGAUCCUGUCG